UGGGGGAUAUUGCACAAUGGGCGAAAGCCUGAUGCAGCGACGCCGCGUGGGGGAUGAAGGCCUUCGGGUUGUAAACUUCUUUUGCUCUGAACAAGGCAUGCUAAUGGGUGUGUUGAGUGUAGGGGUUGAUUAGCGCCGGCUAACUACGUGCCAGCAGCCGCGGUAAUACGUAGGGCGCGAGCGUUGUCCGGAAUUAUUGGGCGUAAAGGGCUUGUAGGUGGCUGGUUGCGUCUGUCGUGAAAGCUCAUGGCUUAACUGUGGGUUUGCGGUGGGUACGGGCUGGCUUGAGUGCAGUAGGGAGGCUGGAAUUCCUGGUGUAGCGGUGGAAUGCGCAGAUAUCAGGAGGAAUACCGGUGGCGAAGGCGGGUCUCUGGGCUGUUACUGACACUGAGGAGCGAAAGCAUGGGGAGCGAACAGG
This 418-nucleotide ribosomal RNA is filed under the name bacterium. RNAcentral describes it as "partial 16S ribosomal RNA". It matches the Rfam family "Bacterial small subunit ribosomal RNA", at positions 355 to 776 of the family's 1533-position model. The record is from RNAcentral.